RNAcentral lists this long non-coding RNA (10895 nucleotides) under Populus tremula. Its description in RNAcentral is "long non-coding RNA (PTRE_LNC001284)". The record is from RNAcentral. Lineage: Eukaryota; Viridiplantae; Streptophyta; Magnoliopsida; Malpighiales; Salicaceae.
GCACUAGCUACUACAUCCUGCCGGUGAUCCGUGGGAGAGGUGGUGGGCUCAAAAUGGCUAGCACUGUAAGAAGAACCUGCCCAUUUGAUGUUGUCCAGGACCGAUAUGAGGCAUCAAAUGGUCUCCUACUGAAACUCACACCUGUGAACACCAAGAAAGGUGUCGUCCGCGUCCACACCGAUCUUAACAUAAGAUUCUCUGCUGCAUCAAUCUGUCACCAGUCAACAACGUGGAAGCUUGACAACUAUGAUGAAUGGACAAAACAAUGGUUUGUCACAACCAAUGGAGUUGAAGGAAAUCCUGGUCCGGAAACAACGAACAACUGGUUCAAGAUUGAGAAGUUCGAAGACAAGUACAAGCUAGUUUUGUGCCCUACAGUGUGUCAACACUGCAAAGUUAUGUGCAAAGAUAUCGGGAUUUUUGUUGAUGGCAAAGGAGUAAGGCGUCUGGCUCUUAGCAGCGUGCCUCUCAAAGUUAUGUUCAAGAUGGCUUGAAGAUCAUGAUCGAUGAUGCAUGCUCAAACACUAUCAGAUGACAGCUACUAUCCCGUAUUGUUAGUGAUUUGAAUAACUUCAAAUUCAAAUCUAAGUGUAUCUAUAAGUUGAUAGGAUCUUAUCUUUUGUUAUCUCUAUAACAGACAUGUACGUGUAUUAUAUAAACACUGGAAAGUGAAUGGAAUGAAUUGAGCUUUCCUUCCUUCUCUGUAAUACGUCUAUCAUGGUAUCAGAGCUCUCAUUUUUAUUCAGUGAAUAAUUCUUCACGUUAUUCACUUCUCUGUUAUGGCUACUCAAACCAAUUCAGCAGACAAUCCAAAUUUGUCCAAUCCAACCAUGUCAACAAAUUCAACCAUUCUACACAGUAAUGAAUUUCAACUCAUCACCAUAAACACUUCUGCUCAAGCCCCACUUAAACUCACCUCCAGCAACUAUAUUUCUUGGAAACUUCAGUUCCAAACUCUUUUUAUUGGAUACGAUAUUCUUGGCUACAUUGACGGAUCUAAACUUUGUCCAUCUGCCACUAUCUUGACAGACCAUUCAACCAUACCAAAUCCUGCCUACCACAUUUGGAUUCGUCAGGAUCAGCUCAUUCUCAAUGCCCUCAUUGGGUCACUUUCUCCUACACUAAUUCCAUUUGUUGCCAGAUCCACAACAUCACGUGAAGCAUGGAACAUUUUAGCCAACACCUAUGCCAAACCAUCACGAGGACGUAUUAAACAAGUCAAGGCUCUUUUCAAACAGUCCACUAAAGGUAAUUUAAAUAUUACUGACUUUCUUCAAUCAGUUAAGGCUCGUCUAGAUGAGCUUGUAAUACUGGGAGCACCAAUCGAUGAGGAAAAUCUUACUGAAAAGAUUCUUGAUGAACUAGACGACGACUAUAAAGAAUUGGUCCUUGCUAUUCAAGCUCGUGAUAAUUCUAUCUCGUUUGAUGAGCUUCAUGAGAAACUGUUGACAUUUGAAGCCUUGUUACAGGGAAAAACAAAGUCAUUCACUCACUUUCCAGUGAGUGUCAAUCCCACUCAUAGAACCAGCACACCCUGGCGACAUCCAAACACCAUUUCUAAUUGGCGUUCCAAUUCUAAUGGGCAACCAGGGUGGCGCCCGUCACACAAUUCUCAUCCCCGUCCCCGUGAUAAUCGUCCAUCAUCACGUCCAUACUUGGGCUACUGUCAAAUAUGCAGUACUCAAGGACACACAGCCAAGAGGUGUCCAUCCUUUCAAAUAACACCUAUUCACUCAUCCAACAAGGCCUCUGCACUACAAUCCAGUACUUCAUCAACCCCUUGGCAACCUCGGGCUCACUUUGCUGCUAAUGUUGCCUCCUCCAAUUCCACUUGGUUACUUGACAGUGGUGCCUCUCACCAUGUCACAGCAGAUCUCAAUAAUUUGUCUCUUCAUGCUCCUUACACUGGAUCUGACGAUGUCAUGAUUGGAGAUGGAACGGGGCUCUCCAUCACUCACACUGGUUCCACUUCUCUUCUCACUAAAACAUCUGCAUUCCAACUAAAUGAUGUCCUAUGUGUGCCUGAUAUCAAAACAAACUUAAUCUCUAUCUAUCAGUUUUGUGUCACUAAUAAUGUCUCUGUUGAAUUUUUACCAACGUGUUUUCAGGUGAAGGAGCUUCACACGGGGGCAACUCUUGUCCAGGGCAUGACUAAAGAUGGUGUGUAUGUGUGGCCGACCAUCCAAUCCUCCUCCUCCCCUCCAAUUAUAGCAUUCUCAAGUACCAAAACUACAUCCUCCAAUUGGCAUCAUAGAUUAGGCCAUCCUGCCUUUCCUAUAUUAAAGCAUGUUAUUUCUGAAUUUCAGUUAAACGUAUCAUCUCCUUUGUCAAAAGAAUUAGUAUGCAAUGCAUGCUGCUGCAAUAAGAGUCAUAAGCUUCCCUUCUCAACAUCCUCCUUGCAAUCCUCACGUCCCCUUGAAAUUAUUUUUUCUGAUGUAUGGACUUCUCCCUUUCACUCCCAUGAUGGAUUCAAAUAUUACAUCAUUUUUAUCGAUCAUUACACGAAAUAUAUCUGGUUUUAUCCAUUACAAAAGAAAUCUGAUGUGAAGGAUGUUUUUAUACGUUUCAAAGCCAUUGUGGAAAAUCAUUUCCAAACAAAGAUUAUCACACUGUAUUCAGACAAUGGGAGAGAAUAUGUGGGUCUUUGAAAUUUUCUAGCACUCAAUGGCAUCUCUCAUCUCACCACCCCUCAACAUACACCUGAACACAAUGGCUAUUCUGAGAGAAAACAUCGUCAUAUAGUAGAGACAGGCCUCACACUACUUUCUCAUGCCUCUCUCCCAUUAAUAUUUUGGUCUCAAGCAUUUGCAACAGCAGUAUAUUUAAUUAACAGGUUACCCACCAAUUCUCUUGGUCUUUCCUCACCGUAUCAAUCAAUUUUUGGUACUGCUCCUAAUUACUCCAAGCUAAAAAUCUUCGGGUGUCUAUGUUAUCCUUGGCUUCGACCAUAUUCCUCUCAUAAACUGGAUCCUCGCUCUAAACCGUGCAUUUUUCUUGGCUAUUCAUCUUCGCAACAUGCAUAUCUGUGUUUUGACUCCACCUCCACCAAAAUAUUCAUAUCUCGUCAUGUCAAAUUUGUAGAAACUGUCUUCCCUUACAAGUCAAUACAUCAUCAAUUACCACGUCCUGACUCCACCACUCUUGCUUCCUGGAUCCCUCCUCUUAUUCACAUUUCAGUUCCUCCUCCUACUCUUCCGGUGCCACACACCCCAUCUACUGAGUGCCCACAGGAGCUUCUACCGUGUGCUACUUCUUCAUCUUCAAACUCACCUGGACUACAACCAAUUCCUCCAACUCUGCCAACCCCAUCACCAAACAACCCAACGCCUAUACACCAGACUUCCCACCCUGUUAUACCCCAUCGUAUGACUACUCGCUCUCAAAACAACGUCCACAAACCACAGAGAAAGCUUAACCUUCACACCCAAUUCACUCCCACCUCUGAAACUGAACCUACAACCGUGACCCAAGCUCUCAAAAAUCCUCAUUGGCGUAAGGCCAUGUCAGAAGAAUAUGAUGCCUUAGUCAUCAAUGGGACGUGGGAACUUGUUCCACCUGCUACUGCCUAUAACAUUGUUGGUUGUAAAUGGAUUUUUCGUAUUAAACGAAAUUCUGAUGGCUCCAUUGACAGGUUUAAAGCUCGACUCGUCGCCAAAGGAUUCCAUCAACGACCUGGGGUUGACUACCAUGAAACAUUCAGUCCAGUCGUUAAAACCUGCCACUGUAAAACUUGUCCUCAGCAUUGCUGUCAGUCGUGGGUGGUCUCUUCGCCAACUCGAUGUGAACAAUGCUUUUUUACAGGGUCAUCUUUCAGAAGAUGUCUAUAUGGACCAGCCUCCGGGUUUCAUUGAUUCUGAUCAUCCAACAUUCAUCUGCAAACUUCGUAAAGCCAUUUAUGGUCUUAAACAGGCACCAAGGGCGUGGUACCAUGAGCUGCGCCAAUUCCUCAAGGCUGCUGGAUUUCAGAAUUCCCAUGCAGAUAAUUCACUCUUUAUUCUCACCACUGGUACCACUAGUCUUUAUCUUUUCGUUUACGUGGAUGAUAUCAUUAUCACAGGCAAUCAACCUGCUCUUGUUGAUCAGUUCAUUACUCGGCUUGCUCAGCAAUUUUCUCUUAAAGAUCUUGGGUCUCUAACAUAUUUUCUUGGCAUUGAAGUGGCUCCUCACAGACAAGGUAUUCUACUCUCACAGCGCCGGUAUAUUCAGGAUCUUCUUGCUCGCACCAAUAUGACAGGUGCUAAACCUGUUUCAACCCCACUGCCUACCAAUUCUCCUAUCAGUUUGCACUCCGGAACACCUCUUUCUGAUCCUACAGAAUAUCGCACAAUUGUUGGCAGUCUACAAUACUUGUCCAUGACACGUCCUGACAUCACGUACGCCGUCAACAAAUUAUCGCAAUACAUGCAUCAACCAUCAACUGAGCACUGGGCACUUGUCAAGCGCAUCUUGCGCUAUUUGUGUGGAACAUUAGAUGAAGGGAUUAUAAUUCAUAGUAAUUCUUCACACUCUCUCCAUGCAUUCUCUGAUACAGACUGGGCUGGCGACAAAGAUGACUACUCCUCAACAAGCGCAUAUAUCGUAUACUUAGGACGCAAUCCUAUCUCUUGGAACUCAAAGAAAUAAAAGACUGUUGCACGUUCACCAACAGAAGCCGAGUAUCGAUCUGUUGCAGCUACCGCUGCUGAACUAAAAUGGUUGUGCUCACUAUUGACAGAGCUUGGAAUUAAUUUACAUCAGGCUCCCACAAUCUAUUGCGACAAUAUUGGAGCUACUCAGCUGUGUUCCAAUCCAGUGUUCCACUCAAGAAUGAAACAUGUUGCCAUAGACUUUUAUUUUAUUCGAGAUCAAGUCCAGACAGGUUCUCUACGUGUAGCUCAUGUUUCUUCCCGUGAUCAGCUUGCUGAUGCACUUACAAAAUCCCUACCCCGCUCCACGUUUCAAAAUCUUAAAAUCAAGAUUGGCCUCUCGUGUCGUGGCCUAUCUUGAGGGGGCAUAUCAGAUGACAACUACUAUCCCGUAUUGUUAGUGAUUUGAAUAACUUCAAAUUCAAAUCUAAGUGUAUCUAUAAAUUGAUAGGAUCUUAUCUUUUGUUAUCUCUAUAACAGACAUGUACGUGUAUUAUAUAAACACUGGAAAGUGAAUGGAAUGAAUUGAGCUUUCCUUCCUUCUCUGUAAUACGUCUAUCAAACACAAUAACAAUAAGCUACGUCAUGUGUUUAUGUAGGAAUAAAUUCCAUAUUUGGAAAUUAAAAUGUAUCUCAUGUCGUUACAUAUAAAUAUAUGUUGCUAGUGACUUGAUCUCUUAAUAAAGAAACAAUGUUGACUAUUGUGACGUUGGUGUCCUUACUUCUUUCUCAAUAAUUGUUUCUUUUUUCUUCCCUUCUGCCAAUAAUUUACUCUCUCCUCUUUCAAAAUUGAAGGAGCUGAAACAUGAAGAGACCUAAACAUAGAAUACAAAAAACCAAAGGGACAAAAAUGAAUAGAAUGAGACUUUUGAAUGAAAAUUAAAAAAAAGGAGGAAAGGUCCCGUUUACUGUUUUAUGCAUUUUAUUUUCAUCAUUUUUCUUUCAAUUAUUUUUAUGCUAUAAAUCUAAAUCCAAAUUCAUUUAACAACUUGUUGUUAUCUAUUUUUCGGUACUCGCAUAAAAAAAUAAAAAAACAAAAUUAAAAAAUAUAUUAGGAAAAAUACAAAACAUAUAUAGUAAUGAGAAUAGGAUGCUAGAUUGCUCAGAAAAUAGCCAAAAAUUAUAAAAAUUAUUUUUAUUGCCAAGAACAUAUAAUUUUUAUUUUUAUAAAUGCAUUAUGUAAAUACAAUUUAUUUAUAUAAAAUAAACAUAAACAAUUAGAAAAAAAUUAUAAUAAUCUCUUUGAAGCACUAUAACAUUAAAAAAGUAAUUAAAAAAGUGAAAUAAACAAUUUAAAAAAUUAGAGAGAGGAUGUUAAUUAAAGUUUAAAUAAAAAAAUUAAUAAAAAGCUUUCUGAAAAAGGAAAAAGCUAGGUGAGAGAUUGUAAAUUGAAAGAAAUCGCAGGGAUCUAAAAGUUCUAUUUUUUUAAUAUUAAAUUUAAUCGUUUUCUUUUAAUUUUUGUUAACUAUGAAUAAAGUUUUAUUUCAUAAAAUGGAUCAAUAAUUCAUGAGAGAGAACACAAACUUGAAGAAAUCUCAACACGUGCAACCUUGUUGAUGUAACUUCGAAGGAUGAAAUUAUAACAAUUCAAAAACUUCAAUGAUGAAAAUAAAAAUAAUUGCACCGUUAGUAUGAACAUUGCAUACGUAGUUCCUGGCAAUUGGUAAUGGUAAUGUCCGGGCAUUCGAUGAUCAUUGUUAUUUAUAUAAUCAUCGGAUAUUUACCAAUGUUAUAUCUGUUCAAAUAUCAUUUUAAACGGGUUUUGGGUUGAAAUAUUGCCAUGGGAUAUUAAUGAUCGCGUUAAAAAUUAAUGAAAAAAAGAAAAAAAAAGAAAAAGAUAUAGAGAUAGAUAAGCGAUGGAUGAGCAGGCACCAUUUCUGAAACAAAUAACAAACGUUUGAAGAUGUAAGGUUGUUGUUUUGAAUUUUGAUCCUCUUCUUGGUGAUUAUGGUACGUGUCAGCCACUUUGUCCUAAUCUUGGUUCAAUUCUUGUUUUGAUGGUUCUAUGCAAAUCUAUGUUUCUUUUGGUUUAUUCAAUGUUAUUUAAAGUUCCAUUGCUCUUUCUUUCAUGAAGUUCUCUUAUGGACGUCUUGCGCAGAUAAAAUUCUUACUUCCUGAAGCUACACAGAUUCAUAAGAUUAUGUUACAUGACAAGCUAGAAAUCACCAUGCAAGAAGCCUGAUAUGAUUGCUUUGCUUCUAGGUAUGACAUUUUUCCCUCUAUCAGUUUUCUUGACGCCUGAGUUUUCAAGUGGAUGGAUUGCUGUGGAAUUGUGAAUUAGUUGUUAAGAAUAUAACAUUGCAGUUUAGAUGGAGGGGGAGCUCAUCUGUAGAUCAGAAAACCUGCCAGCCUGAUUCAACGCACCGGCUGAUGCCUAUUCAUUAGCCUGACCUUCUUUCUCUGAUUCACCACAUGUUCCAGUCAGCUAGCCUCUCUCCAAUCACAAAGGAGGAACUUGUGCACAAGAUAAUUCUAAAUAGUUUAGAUGUGUCAAAAUGGCUCUGCCUUUAUAGCACCCGUGGCAUUUUUCUUGUUGAAUCACUGGUCAGUGAACUCACCCAGUCUUCUCUUACAGGGGAGAUUGAAGAAAACAUUGGGUUCUAGAAAAGCAAGUUCCGGAUUGGGAUUGCAGGAUACCAGCACCUAGCGGCGAUGUGUUGUACGAGUGGGCGUAUCGUACAUCUCUUUGAUCUUACAUGCAACCAUCUUUCCAUGAAGAGAGCACACCAACGCAAAUAUUGUGUGGGGGCACCUUGCCAUUAGAAGAUGAAUAUGCGUGCUUCUCCGUAUAAGUGAAUAUUUGCAGAUGCUUAAACGUCACAAUGAAACAAAUUAAUCUAGUUGUUUUUACGGUAAGAAAGCAACACCACAAUUUCCCUUAUGAGUUGGCCCUGUUGCCAUUCCCUUCUGCCUCUCUGGCCCUGUGCAGGAUCAAGAAAACACCAGGCAACGGUUAUAGCAAAGGACGAUAUCUAAAGGCAUCUUGAUUCAAUACAAGUAAAACUGGCACUGGUGGGGAAAUGCAAUUGAUUCAUCAAUUUGGAGUCUUGGACAUUGUGCUCUCGCUUAGCUGGUCCUUGCCCAAUUACGUGCUUCUUUCAUAGACUUGUGUGUUUGGCCUUGCUAUAACUUAUCCGUAGGAUAUCUAUCCAUUGCUGGAUACAUCAGUCUACAUAGUUUUAUGUCCCCCAUGAAAGUCGGUGACCAAAAUGCGCCUCUUAUUUGAUUUUGAUGACUUAGCUUUUCCUUGCUGAAGGUGGAAUUUAAAACCCUGAGAAGCUGUUUUAAGACACUGACCAACACAUUUGUAUGUCUGGUGGCAUUUUUGAUAAAAUUAUAAAUAGGCCGACUCUGAUGCAUCUCUGCGUGCGUCUUAUAGAUGAAUGAAGCGCCAGAGCUUAAAGCUUCUGCUGCAAAGUUGUGCAGAUCUCGUUACUCUCAAGCAAAUCCAUGCCCAAGCUCUCACUCAAGGAUUACUCUUCAUUGAGCAACCCUUGGCCUGCAAAUUAGUUAAUAGCUAUGCUAAAUUGGGUAAUCCACAUGAUGCACAGAAGGUGUUUGGUUAUAUUCAAGACCCCGAUAGAGUAACUUAUACUUCUCUAAUCAAUCUUUACUUGAGCACUCAUCUUCCAAUCAAAGCCUUUUCAGUUUUUUCAAAGCUGGUAAAUGAGGGUUUAAGGCCUGACAGCCAUGCAGUUGUUGGUGCAUUAUCAGCUUGUGGAAAAAAACAAGAUUUGCUAAAUGGGAAGCUAGUGCAUGGGAUGAUCUUUAGAUUUCAGUUGGGGGCGAAUUCGAUUGUUGGUAAUGCUUUGAUUGAUAUGUAUUGCAGAAAUGGUGAAAUUAAGAUAGCCCAGUUGGUGUUUAAGCAAAUGGGUAUCAAAGAUGUGUCUUCUUGGACCAGUUUGCUUAAUGGGUUUGUAAUGUGCAAUGGUUUAGAGUCAGCUAGGCGUGUGUUUGAUGAAAUGCCAUGGAGGAAUGACGUUGCUUGGACUGCGAUGAUAACAGGUUAUGUUCGAGGAGGAAUGCCAAUUCAGGGUCUUGAAAUGUUUAAGCAAAUGAAAGCUGAAGGGGAAAACCAGCCUACGGUUAUCACAGCAGUGGCUGUUCUCUCGGGUUGUGCUGAUCUUGGGGCUCAUGAUCAUGGUCAAGCUGUUCAUGGUUAUAUCAGCAAAGUUAAUCUCGAUAAAGGUGCUACUGUGAGCAAUGCUUUAAUGGAUAUGUACUCAAAGGGUGGGUGCGUUGAGUCUGCUAUGAAGAUAUUCGAUAGAUUGGUGAAAAAAGAUGUGUUUUCAUGGACUACUAUGAUAUCAGCGCACUCAUCUCAUGGUAAAGGAAACCAUGCCCUUGAAGUUUUCUAUGACAUGUUGGAAUCUGGGGUCAUCCCAAAUGAUGUUACAUUUCUGUUGGUUCUAUCAGGUUGCAGCCAUUCAGGAUUGCUUGUCGAGGCAAAUAAAUUGUUUAACGGAAUGAUCCAACGUUAUGGUUUUGAACCCAAGAUUGAGCAUUAUGGAUGCAUGGUAGACCUUCUUUGUCGAGCAGGGCUUUUGGAAGAGGCAAAAGAGUUUAUCGAUAAUAUGCCUAUGGACCCAGAUGCUGUUAUCUGGCGAUCCUUGCUUAGCGCUUGUAUGAACCAGAGGAACUUGGAAUUGGCUGAAAUUGCAGGAAAGAAGAUAAUUGAAUUGGAACCGCAUGAUGAUGGAGUGUAUGUGCUCCUUUCCAACAUCUAUCAUGUAGCAAAUAGGAUGAAGGACGCACGGAAGAUGAGGAAAAUGAUGGGUGAUCAAAAAGUCAUGAAAAAACCAGCGUGUAGUUACAUUGAGUUAAAUGGUGUUGUUCAUGAAUUUCAUACAGAAAAUGCAACUCAUCAUGCUUCCACCAAAAUUUACAUGUUGCUAGAAAUGAUCAAUGAGAAUUUGAGAUUGGAUUCGGAUUACUCUUUGUUGGAAAUGGACUUGGUAUAUGACGGGCUGCUUUGAAAUAGGGCAAGGUUUUGGCAGAGCAUUUUGGAGAAGAGUUUUGGUCAAGGCAGCCGUGGAUUGAAGCACUUGUAAACUUGAGGACGGUUCAAUUUUUUACAUGAAUUACUAAGAUGCACUUUUCCUUUACUUAGGUGGCUCUUAAAAAUUAAAUUAAUGAAGUCUUUUCUAUGCUUUCUACAUGAAUUUUCAUUAGAUUGCUCUUAUGUCCACAUUGAUAGAAAACCAAAUCAGAUAGCUACCAAGACAUUACUGUUAAUAUGUACAAUACGGCAGUCACGUAGACCAUUUCUAAUAACGUGAAAUCAGGUUUGGAUUAGUUCUUGCAAACAGAAUCUUAGACAGCCAUCGCAAGAAAACAGGGUGUAAUAUACAGCUUUCUUUUAUUGCCACUAACGUGUUCUCAUGAUCUCCUCAUCAAACAAGCCAUGUGAAGUGACUUGAACUGCAAACCAGAAAUUAAUUAAAAAAGAAGUUCUGACUUCAUACAAAUCUUUGACAUUGCAUCUUUAAUCAAAAACACAGUAUCAACUAUUGUAAUAUACAGCUUUCUUUUAUUGCCUAAGGAACUCUGCUUUCCCGAAAACAGGGUGUGGUUUUGGACCAUCACAAUUUUAUCAAAUAACACACACAAAUAUUAACAAAGACUGAUCAUAUUGUACGAGCUACUCAAGAAUAUAAAAUAUAGGAUCAGGUUUAUGGCUGGUCAAGCCACCAGUUUUAAAUGUCAUACACAGCGCUCCUUCAAAAGUUCUUACCAGCAUCAUGCAGGCAUGCAUGCAGGCAUCCCAUUGUAUUGCUAAUUAACUCUAUAAAUUCAAGCCUCUUCCCAUUCAUUCUAGCAUAAACACAUCACGCACAUUGAAAGUCACCCAUAACGACAAUGAGAGCUGCAAUUCUAGCAUUGUCCUUCCUUCUUUUUGCCUUAGCUGCAAAUCAAUUGCCCAGGGCUGCAGCUACUGCUGCCCCUGAGACAGUGCUCGACGUCACUGGUAAGAUACUUAGAACCGGCACUAGCUACUACAUCCUGCCGGUGAUCCGUGGGAGAGGUGGUGGGCUCAAAAUGGCUAGCACUGUAAGAAGAACCUGCCCGCUUGAUGUUGUCCAGGACCGAUAUGAGGCAUCAAAUGGUCUCCCACUGAAAUUCACACCUGUGAACACCAAGAAAGGUGUCGUCCGCGUCCACACCGAUCUUAACAUAAGAUUCUCUGCUGCAUCAAUCUGUCACCAGUCAACAGCGUGGAAGCUUGACAACUACGAUGAAUGGACAAAACAAUGGUUUGUCACAACCAAU